UUGGAGGGCAAGUCUGGUGCCAGCAGCCGCGGUAAUUCCAGCUCCAAUAGCGUAUAUUAAAGUUGUUGCAGUUAAAAAGCUCGUAGUUGAAUUUCGGGGUCAGUAGGUUGGUCGUGCCUAUGGUAUGUACUGGCUUUACUGAUUCCUCCUUCUUGAAGAACUGUAAUGUCAUUAAUUUGGUGUUGCAGGGAAACAGGACUGUUACUUUGAAAAAAUUAGAGUGUUUAAAGCAGGCUAACGCUUGAAUACAUUAGCGUGGAAUAAUGAAAUAGGACGUUCGAUCCUAUUUUGUUGGUUUCUAGGAUUGACGUAAUGAUUAAUAGGGAUAGUUGGGGGCAUUAGUAUUCAAUUGUCAGAGGUGAAAUUCUUGGAUUUAUUGAAGACUAACUACUGCGAAAGCAUUUGCCAAGGAUGUUUUCAUUAAUCAAGAACGAAAGUUAGGGGAUCGAAGACGAUCAGAUACCGUCGUAGUCUUAACCAUAAACUAUGCCGACUAGGGAUCGGAUGAUGUUAAUUUUUUAAUGACUCAUUCGGCGCCUUACGGGAAAC
Molecule: ribosomal RNA, 549 nt
Filed under: uncultured Glomeromycotina
Lineage: Eukaryota; Fungi; Glomeromycota
Description: SSU rRNA
Rfam family: Eukaryotic small subunit ribosomal RNA
Source: RNAcentral